RNAcentral lists this ribosomal RNA (512 nucleotides) under Xylaria cubensis. RNAcentral describes it as "eukaryotic LSU rRNA". It matches the Rfam family "Eukaryotic large subunit ribosomal RNA", at positions 53 to 575 of the family's 3401-position model. The record is from RNAcentral. Lineage: Eukaryota; Fungi; Ascomycota; Sordariomycetes; Xylariales; Xylariaceae.
AAGGAAAAGAAACCAACAGGGAUUGCCCUAGUAACGGCGAGUGAAGCGGCAACAGCUCAAAUUUGAAAUCUGGCCCUCGGGUCCGAGUUGUAAUUUGUAGAGGAUGCUUUUGGCGCGGUGCCUUCCGAGUUCCCUGGAACGGGACGCCUUAGAGGGUGAGAGCCCCGUACGGUUGGACACCAAGCCUCUGUAAAGCUCCUUCGACGAGUCGAGUAGCUUGGGAAUGCUGCUCUAAAUGGGAGGUAAAUUUCUUCUAAAGCUAAAUAUUGGCCAGAGACCGAUAGCGCACAAGUAGAGUGAUCGAAAGAUGAAAAGCACUUUGAAAAGAGGGUUAAACAGCACGUGAAAUUGUUGAAAGGGAAGCGUUUGCGACCAGACCUUUUCCUAGCGGAUCAUCCGGUGUUCUCACCGGUGCACUUCGCUAGGUUUAGGCCAGCAUCGGUUUCUGUAGGGGGAUAAAAGCUCUGGGAACGUAGCUCCUCCGGGAGUGUUAUAGCCCUCUGCAUAAUACC